Molecule: ribosomal RNA, 500 nt
Filed under: uncultured bacterium
Lineage: Bacteria
Description: partial 16S ribosomal RNA
Rfam family: Bacterial small subunit ribosomal RNA
Source: RNAcentral
AUUGAACGCUGGCGGCAUGCCUUACACAUGCAAGUCGAACGGCAGCACGGGAGCAAUCCUGGUGGCGAGUGGCGAACGGGUGAGUAAAGUAUCGGAACGUGCCCAGUCGUGGGGGAUAACGUAGCGAAAGUUACGCUAAUACCGCAUACGAUCUAUGGAUGAAAGCGGGGGAUCGCAAGACCUCGCGCGAUUGGAGCGGCCGAUAUCAGAUUAGGUAGUUGGUGGGGUAAAGGCUCACCAAGCCGACGAUCUGUAGCUGGUCUGAGAGGACGACCAGCCACACUGGGACUGAGACACGGCCCAGACUCCUACGGGAGGCAGCAGUGGGGAAUUUUGGACAAUGGGCGAAAGCCUGAUCCAGCCAUUCCGCGUGAGUGAAGAAGGCCUUCGGGUUGUAAAGCUCUUUCGGCAGGAACGAAACGCUCUAGAUUAAUACCCUGGGGUAAUGACGGUACCUGAAGAAGAAGCACCGGCUAACUACGUGCCAGCCGCCGCCGUAA